AGUUCCCCAGCCGCGGGGUGUCUCUGACCUUUUCUGGGGUCAGGUCUCCCUGAACCAGGGAGUUAUAGGUCUGACCUGCUCGUCGGUCUUGUCCUUCGCGGCCCCUUGAAGCGUGUCUUCACUCAGUCUGGCCCGGCGUUUAGCAAGGAUCUUCAGGAGGCCCUUAUUUUUGUCUCAUUGACUAGAAACGUUUCUGUUUUCCUCUUGAAGGUUAGUGACUGACUCAGGAUCACAGUUCAUUAGAGGCGAAGACUGGAAGUUGUGUGUCUUCGACUCAGAAGAGAGAACUGCUUGCUUUUCCACAUGAAGUAAAGCAAAUUACUUGAUAAAAAGACCUUUUGAGAAACGGCAAGCAGAAUAAAGACAUUAAAACAUAGCCCUUUCCUUAAAGCACUG
This is a long non-coding RNA of Suricata suricatta (meerkat), 396 nucleotides long. RefSeq lists it as uncharacterized. The transcript is spliced from 2 exons. Lineage: Eukaryota; Metazoa; Chordata; Mammalia; Carnivora; Herpestidae. The record is from RefSeq and is a predicted model, not a curated record.